RNAcentral lists this ribosomal RNA (292 nucleotides) under uncultured bacterium. Its description in RNAcentral is "partial 16S ribosomal RNA". It matches the Rfam family "Bacterial small subunit ribosomal RNA", at positions 505 to 796 of the family's 1533-position model. The record is from RNAcentral.
GUGUCAGCAGCCGCGGUAAUACAGAGGGUGCAAGCGUUAAUCGGAAUUACUGGGCGUAAAGCGUGUGUAGGUGGUCUGUUAAGUCAGAUGUGAAAUCCCUGGGCUCAACCUGGGAACUGCAUUUGAUACUGUCAGACUAGAGUGUGGUAGAGGGUAGUGGAAUUCCGCAUGUAGCGGUGAAAUGCGUAGAGAUGCGGAGGAACACCAGUGGCGAAGGCGGCUACCUGGACCAACACUGACACUGAGGCACGAAAGCGUGGGUAGCAAACAGGAUUAGAAACCCCUGUAGUCC